Molecule: RNA transcript, 4969 nt
Organism: Acinonyx jubatus (cheetah)
Lineage: Eukaryota; Metazoa; Chordata; Mammalia; Carnivora; Felidae
Gene: GPR61
Gene name: G protein-coupled receptor 61
Exons: 3
Source: RefSeq, a predicted model, not a curated record
UGAGAGACUGUAAGAAUAGGAUAUGGAAAUGAAAAUAAUUUAUAAUUGCAUUAUUUCAAUUAUAUGCAAACUUAAUAUGGAUAACGAGACACAUAAAACAUUUGAUCUGCCCUUUGAUCAGGAGAAAUGAGGGACGCUGAAACCCCAGACUUCGUCCUCUCCCAAUUUCCUUCAGUUGCCUUCUCUGCUUUAUGCUCCCCUAUUUCCAUGAUAACAGUGACCUACCCUCUCUCACCCCUGUGCCCCUCUUAGACACCUACUCCUCCCUCCUUACUCUGGAUUCUGCUAACAGUCCAGGACCAGGAGGACUCUGGGCCAGGGAUCUGCUCCAGUGAUCAGAGACCUGGGACCUGGGGAGUGUGAGGUUGGGAGCAUUUCCUCUCCCAUCUGCAGGGGCACAGUGGCCUUGAGAAGCUAAUGAGUGGGUGAGGAAGGGCAGCUGUCAAGUGACUUGCCCCUUCUGGCUUGGGGGGCAGUGGAGGCUGGAUGAGCUGACAUCCCAGCUUCCUUCCAGCUGGGACAUUUUGUUUUCACUGUUCCUUUUCAACACUCCCCAAAUGGCAACUCUGUGUCUUGGGGGGUGGUGAUGUCACAGGAGACUAAAGCAAGGUCCUUCCCCCUUUCAGGUGAUCUCUUCCAAAUGGGAGCCCCAGAACACUGACAGACAUUUUUAGAGAUAGUUCAAGUUCAAUGACUAUUCAUCGAAUGCCUACUGCGUUCCAGCCGCCGUGGGGGGCACCGUCUGGUGGGUAGAGUACUGGCCCUGGAGCCCGAGCGCUUGGGCUGCGGGUACACACGCAGACCUUGCCACUUUUGAUGUCUUUGUGAGGAAACUGAAGUUCACAAGAGUCACAGAGUUAGCAAUUCCCAGACCUGAAACUGGAAACCAGAUCCUGUGUCCCUUCUACUUACUCCCCAACAGCUCCUGCCAUUUGGAGAGUCAAGAAAUCGGGAAAUUUGCAUAAGCAACUUUAAAACUGGGGCACUAUCCUGGAGCUCAGCGGGACCCCGGGAGAGGGAGAAAGAGGAUUUAGAAUCUCUGGAUAACAAUCCCUGAGAGGGGAGAAGGGUAUGGAGAACAGAGGAAAGGAAAAGAAACAAGGAGCCUGAGACCACUCAGAAGGUGGAGUGUUGAGUGAGUGAGGCUCCAGCAUCUCUCACAUCUCCUGCUUCUUCGAUGUCACCAAGGUGGACCAGAGCCACCACCUUCCAGAAAGGAGAGAUGAGCUUCUGAGCCCUCCGUUCCCUAUGCACAGUCUGACCUGGGAGGCUGGCGGUAAGAGCCUGUCCAGGAGGCUCCAGCAGGAGGCGCCCUCCCCCCCCCGCCCCCACACACCAAAUUGGGAAGCCUGGGCCUGGGCUGGCCAUCCCAGGGUCACUGGACUAGGAUGGGGGAUGGGCCUGUGACGGGAGGUGCCCUGGGUGUCCUCUUCCGGCCCCAUGGAGUCCUCUCCCAUCCCCCAGUCAUCAGGGAACUCUUCCACUCUGGGGAGGGUCCCUCAAACACCAGGUCCCUCUACUGCCAGUGGGGUCCCAGAGGUGGGGCUGCGGGACGUGGCCUCAGAAUCUGUGGCCCUCUUCUUCAUGCUCCUGCUGGACUUGAUCGCCGUGGCUGGCAACGCGGCUGUGAUGGCUGUUAUCGCCAAGACACCUGCCCUCCGAAAAUUCGUCUUCGUCUUCCACCUGUGCCUGGUGGACCUGUUGGCCGCCCUGACCCUCAUGCCCCUGGCCAUGCUCUCCAGCUCUGCCCUCUUUGACCAUGACCUCUUUGGGGAGGUCGCCUGCCGCCUCUACUUGUUCCUGAGCAUAUGCUUCGUAAGCCUGGCCAUUCUCUCGGUGUCGGCCAUCAACGUGGAGCGCUACUAUUACGUUGUCCACCCCAUGCGCUACGAGGUGCGCAUGACGCUGGGGCUGGUGGCCUCUGUGCUGGUGGGUGUGUGGGUGAAAGCCUUGGCCAUGGCUUCUGUGCCAGUGUUGGGAAGGGUCUCCCAGGAGGAGGGAGCGCCCAGCACCCCCCCAGGCUGCUCACUCCAAUGGAGCCACAGUGCCUACUGCCAGCUUUUCGUGGUGGUCUUUGCUGCCCUUUACUUUUUGUUGCCUCUGCUCCUUAUCCUUGUGGUUUACUGCAGCAUGUUCCGAGUAGCUCGAGUGGCUGCCAUGCAGCACGGACCGCUGCCCACGUGGAUGGAGACGCCCCGGCAACGCUCCGAGUCUCUCAGCAGCCGCUCCACCAUGGUCACCAGCUCGGGGGCUCCCCAGACCACUCCGCACCGGACGUUUGGGGGAGGGAAGGCUGCGGUGGUCCUCCUAGCUGUGGGGGGACAGUUCCUGCUCUGUUGGUUGCCCUACUUUUCUUUCCACCUCUACGUGGCCCUGAGUGCUCAGCCCAUUUCGACUGGGCAGGUGGAGAACGUGGUGACCUGGAUCGGCUACUUCUGCUUCACUUCCAACCCUUUCUUCUAUGGAUGUCUCAACCGGCAGAUCCGGGGCGAGCUCAGCAAGCAGUUUGUCUGCUUCUUCAAGCCGGCUCCGGAGGAGGAGCUGAGGCUACCUAGCCGGGAGGGCUCCAUUGAGGAGAACUUCCUGCAGUUCCUUCAGGGUACUGGCUGUCCCUCCGAGUCCUGGGUUUCCCGACCCGUACCCAGCCCCAAGCAGGAGCCACCUGCCGUUGACUUUCGAAUUCCAGGCCAGAUAGCUGAGGAGACCUCGGAGUUCCUGGAGCAACAACUCACCAGCGACAUCAUCAUGUCGGACAGCUACCUCCGGCCCGCCCCCUCACCUCGACUGGAAUCCUGAUGGGCUUCUGGACACUUGGAAGGAGAUGGGGCUGGGGCCAUUGACGACUGAAGGAACAUCUUGUGGGAUCACCUUUUCCCAGCUAGCAGGGGCUGGGGCUGGGGUCUCUGCACACAGCUGUUGCUUAGCUUUUUCUGGGUCAGGAACAAUGCCAACAGGAUGAACGUGUGGCAAAAGCCUUGGACAUGGCUCUGAUCCUUGACUACUGGGGGAGGGAACCUGGUGAGAUGGUAAUGAGAAUAAACGGUCACCAAGGAUUGGCCUCCCUGAUCUCUCUCCUCAUGGCAGUGACCCACCUCCAGCCCCCUGGACAAUCGGGUACAAGAGACUAAGGUUGGGAAUGGGAAGGGUGGGGUUUCCAUGGUCCAUUAAAUGCCUCCCUUCUCCCAUUCAUCGCUCUCAAAAUUAGCUUCAGUGACAAAAGACUUAAAUCUCUCUCCUACCCGAAGCCCUGGGUUGGAGAGAGGGCACAAGAGUUGGGUUCAGCUGUUUACUGAUUGAGACUAUAGGAACUUGUUGGUUGGUAUUGGUGGUGGUAUUUUCAAGCAGGGGGAAAUUGGACAGGACACUCAUCUGGGACUACCUGUCCAUCCACUUCCCUCUGUUGAAUCAAAUAACACUAAAGGAUUGAGGCAGGACCAGAGGGUGGUUUGAUCUGUAUUUGAACAAAUUCCUGACUCAUUGAACAUUAAAGGGUAAGAUGGGCUGGUGGGAGUGGGCCCUUUGAAUGGCCAAUAAAUAAUUUUUAUUAUAAAAAGUUAUACUGAUAUCAACAUUUCCUAUUUUAGUCCAAUUCAGUACAUAAUAGUUGAAUACCCAGUAUUCUCUGGGACCCACACAGAGUCACUGCCUUUGAGGAGUUCAUAGUCUAAUUUGAUCAGGCACCUUGUAUUUUUACAGAGCAUUUAUAUCUGGUAAAACACUAAAGAAUGUUGGAGAAAUAUAUUAAAGAACACAUUGCAGUUCAGUCCACUGCAGCAAGAUACUUACAUGGAAACUUCCUGUGGGCUGUGGAAAGUGUGAGGGUUGUAAAUGAAACCCUAGUUGAGGAAAAUAAUUUACUUACUGAGACUGAGCAAAUCUCCCUUUAGAUCUAGGAAAAUUUACAGGUUUCUGUCUUCCUACCACCAGACUUACUCUAGUCUAAGACCCAUUACACUGAGGAAAUCCCUUAGAUAGUAUAUAUACCAAGGAGAAUCUUUUGUGACUGAAAAACACGUUCUCCUCGCUUUCCUCCCUUUCAAGAUAAACCUGUUAAGGGAGGAACCUCAUUCCUAGAUAACAGGAAAAAACCUCUUCAAACAUCAUUGAUCAGCUAGUAGGCCCUAAGCAUUGCCAGCAGGUGGCAGUGUGAGACCAAUGGAAACAGGAAAGGUGCGCGUUGGGGAGGGGGGCUGUGGGGAGAGGGAACGGGGAAAGGGGAGGACAUUAAACAUUGCCUGGCAGCCAUUUUGUUAAUUUAUUUUUCCUUUUCCUUUGACUUUGCCCUCCAACCCUUCCUUCAAAUAUAUCAAAAAAGAAUUUUAAGUGCAAGGAUAUCUCUAAUUCAGGCUGAAAUCUCCUGACACUGUGAUCUCACUGGCAUUUAUUACAGAAUUUGACACAUGCUGGUUCAUUUGCCAUUUAUUUUUCCCUGCUUGAGUGGAUCAUGAAGGAAACAAAUAUUUCUCUUCUAUUAUGCUGAGAAUUCUCCCAACAAUUUCUGCCAUGACCACCUUCCAGUUGUUUUCUAGUCACCAGGAUCGCUUGGUAAAGUUGGCUAUGUAAUCCUUGACUGUGCAAGCUGUUCCUGGACCAAAUUUGACUUCUCUAGUCAGCUCAAGAAUCAACAGGUUGAGACAACUUUCCUGUCAGUUACUUUUCCUGCACCCCAGUGGUGUUGGGGUAACCCUCAAGCCUAGAUGAAAACCUUGUGUCAUCAGGUCUCCCCAAGUAACAUCUUAUAGUGGCAUGGUAGAAAAGGGGUGAGUUUGGAGGCAGACAUCUACUUACUCACUGUGUGACCUUGGGAAAGAUGCUUAAUUUCUCUGAGCCUAUUUCUUCAUCUGUAAAAUGGAGGUAACAUUACCUACCUCACAGGGUUGUUGUGAGGAUUAAAAGAGAUGACCAUGUGGAAGCACCUAGCCAUACCUGGCAAAUAGGUACUCAAUAAAUAUUGGUUUUUCUUCCCUUU